CCAACAGGGAUUGCCUCAGUAACGGCGAGUGAAGCGGCAACAGCUCAAAUUUGAAAUCUGGCCCUAGGCCCGAGUUGUAAUUUGCAGAGGAUGCUUCUGGCGCGGUGCCUUCCAAGUCCCCUGGAACGGGGCGCCAUAGAGGGUGAGAGCCCCGUCUGGUUGGCCGCCAAGCCUGUGUGAAGCUCCUUCGACGAGUCGAGUAGUUUGGGAAUGCUGCUCUAAAUGGGAGGUAGACCCCUUCUAAAGCUAAAUACCGGCCAGAGACCGAUAGCGCACAAGUAGAGUGAUCGAAAGAUGAAAAGCACUUUGAAAAGAGGGUUAAACAGUACGUGAAAUUGUUGAAAGGGAAGCGCUUGUGACCAGACGUGCGUCGGGGUGUUCAGCGGGCGUUCUCGCCCGUGCACUCGCCCCGGUGCAGGCCAGCGUCGGUUCGGGCGGGGGGACAAAGGCGCCGGGAACGUAGCUCCUCCGGGAGUGUUAUAACCCGGCGUGUCAUGCCCCCGCCUGGACCGAGGUUCGCGCUCCGCAAGGACGCUGGCGUAAUGGUCCCCAGCGGCCCGUCUUGAAACACGGACCAAGGAGUCGAGGUUUUGCGCGAGUGUUUGGGUGUCAAACCCGCACGCGUAAUGAAAGUGAACGCAGGUGGGAGCUUCGGCGCACCACCGACCGAUCCUGAUGUUCUCGGAUGGAUUUGAGUAAGAGCGUAGGGCCUCGGACCCGAAAGAUGGUGAACUAUACGUGAAUAGGGUGAAGCCAGAGGAAACUCUGGUGGAGGCUCGCAGCGGUUCUGACGUGCAAAUCGAUCGUCAAAUUUGCGUAUGGGGGCGAAAGACUAAUCGAACCAU
This 845-nucleotide ribosomal RNA is filed under the name Thozetella guozhongii. RNAcentral's name for it is "partial large subunit ribosomal RNA". It matches the Rfam family "Eukaryotic large subunit ribosomal RNA", at positions 65 to 943 of the family's 3401-position model. Lineage: Eukaryota; Fungi; Ascomycota; Sordariomycetes; Chaetosphaeriales; Chaetosphaeriaceae. The record is from RNAcentral.